GCGCACCUUUGUGUCGCACUUCGAGGGACGCGCGGUGGCCGGCCACCUGACGCGGGUGGCUGACCCCCUACGCACUUUCUCGGUGCUGGAGCCGGGAGGACCCGGAGGCUGCGCGCAGAGGCGUCGCGCUACUGUGGAGGACACAGCCGUCCCGGCCGGUUGCCGCGUCGCUCAGAACGGUGGCUUCUUCCGCAUGGGGACUGGCGAGUGCUUGGGGAAUGUGGUGAGCGACGGGCGGCUGGAACAGUUGCAGAGUCAUCUGGCACAAACCAUUUCAAACAGUCCGGCUGAGGCUAUGCCUUCAGGAGCGUGAGGGAUCGGAUGCAGUCUGUGGAGCUCCAGACGGCGGCUGGUGCUGAUAGACACCUUGUCUGGUUGACUGUCUGAGGUACCUGUCUGAGGAGGACGUCCUGGACACGGUGAACCCAUUCGUGCAGCUACUGAGCGGAGUGGUAUGGCUCAUCCGUAAUGGAAGCAUCUACAUCAACGAGAGCCAAAUCACCGAGUGCGAUGAGACGCAGGAGACAGGUUCUUUCAGCAAAUUUGUGAACGUGAUGUCAGCCAGGACAGCCGUGGGUCAUGACCGUAAGGGGCAGCUUAUACUCUUCCACGCGGACGGACAGACGGAGCAGCGUGGCCUCAACCUGUGGGAGAUGGCAGAGUUCCUGCUGAAACAAGACGUGGUCAAUGCCAUCAACCUGGAUGGAGGCGGUUCUGCCAC
This 721-nucleotide long non-coding RNA is filed under the name Rattus norvegicus (Norway rat). Its description in RNAcentral is "long non-coding RNA NONRATT004001". Lineage: Eukaryota; Metazoa; Chordata; Mammalia; Rodentia; Muridae. The record is from RNAcentral.